UAGGGAAUCUUCGGCAAUGUACGAAAGUCUGACCGAGCAACGCCGCGUGAGUGAAGAAGGUUUUCGGAUCGUAAAACUCUGUUGUUAGAGAAGAACAAGGACGUUAGUAACUGAACGUCCCCUGACGGUAUCUAACCAGAAAGCCACGGCUAACUACGUGCCAGGAGCCGCGGUAAUACGUAGGUGGCAAGCGUUGUCCGGAUUUAUUGGGCGUAAAGCGAGCGCAGGCGGUUUCUUAAGUCUGAUGUGAAAGCCCCCGGCUCAACCGGGGAGGGUCAUUGGAAACUGGGAGACUUGAGUGCAGAAGAGGAGAGUGGAAUUCCAUGUGUAGCGGUGAAAUGCGUAGAUAUAUAGAGGAACACCAGUGGCGAAGGCGGCUAUCUGGUCUGUAACUGACGCUGAGGCUCGAAAGCGUGGGGAGCAAACAGG
RNAcentral lists this ribosomal RNA (429 nucleotides) under Gemmatimonadota bacterium. RNAcentral's name for it is "Gemmatimonadetes bacterium partial 16S ribosomal RNA". It matches the Rfam family "Bacterial small subunit ribosomal RNA", at positions 355 to 776 of the family's 1533-position model. The record is from RNAcentral. Lineage: Bacteria; Pseudomonadati; Gemmatimonadota.